AGUAAAACAGUACGUGAAAUUGUUGAAAGGGAAACGAUUGAAGUCAGUCAUGCCGGCGUUGGAUUCAGCUUGCUUCGCGGAGCUUGCGCAUUUCCUCGCAUGGCAGGUCAGCGUCAGUUUUGCGCGGCGUGAAAAGGCUCGGGUAAGGUAGCUCUCUUCGGGGAGUGUUAUAGACCUGGGCAAAUGCGCGGCGCGGGACUGAGGAUUGCAGCGGACACCUCUUCGGAGGCGCGGCGACCGAACCCUGCUCGGCCACCCUCGUUCGAUAGCGUGCUAGCGGACGCGGGAGCGGCAGUGCACCGGAACAGGCAAGCCAGCGGUUCGCUUAGGAUGCUGACGUAAUGGCUUUAAA
This 352-nucleotide unclassified non-coding RNA is filed under the name uncultured Archaeospora. RNAcentral's name for it is "sequence contains 28S rRNA gene". The record is from RNAcentral. Lineage: Eukaryota; Fungi; Glomeromycota; Glomeromycetes; Archaeosporales; Archaeosporaceae.